UAUCCCUGACCUGGGUGGAGUGACACCUGGUUGGUGGAGCCCAUUUCAUAUCAGCCAGCGAUAAAUCAACCCUUUCUUUGUCCAGUUUGGCUUUUGGUUUGUGCCUAUGCCUGGUUCUUGCUUUGGAAACAUUU
RNAcentral lists this small nucleolar RNA (134 nucleotides) under Carlito syrichta (Philippine tarsier). RNAcentral's name for it is "Small nucleolar RNA SNORA48 (ENSTSYG00000035663.1)". It matches the Rfam family "Small nucleolar RNA SNORA48". From Rfam's summary of the family: The snoRNA ACA 48 has been identified to guide pseudouridylation of the residue U3797 in the 28S rRNA subunit. Its host gene EIF4A1 (eukaryotic translation initiation factor 4A1) is shared with U67 and snoRNA mgU6-77 The record is from Rfam by way of RNAcentral. Lineage: Eukaryota; Metazoa; Chordata; Mammalia; Primates; Tarsiidae.